RNAcentral lists this long non-coding RNA (2615 nucleotides) under Homo sapiens (human). Its description in RNAcentral is "HSALNT0265567". Lineage: Eukaryota; Metazoa; Chordata; Mammalia; Primates; Hominidae. The record is from RNAcentral.
AUCCAGGGGCUGCCUGACCCAUGGCUCUUUUCCUGCUUCCGAUCCCGUCCCACCCUUUGAAUUGGGUCAAGAGGGUUUGGUACUGAGUCUAUCCAGGAGAGUCCACCACCACUCCCUUCCCCAACCCAGGGUGUAACAGGAUAAAAAGGGAAAUGACCCAGCCCCAUGGUGGUGUGACGAGAGGAUUCUCAGAGGCUCUGGACCCCAGCCUGACCCUCAUUGGCUUUGUAACUUUGGGAAAAUCACUUACCCUUCUUAACCUUGAGUUUCCUCAUUUGUAAAACUGUCUUUAGGAACCACAACAUUUAAAGAAUAAACCCAUGAGCACUGUGGAAACUCAAGCGUGCUAUGUAAAUGUAAGCUUUUAUUAUGCAUGGUCAAGUUUUUAUGAACUGCGAAAGAAAAAUUUGGCUGAACAGCCCUUCCUUGUUCUCAGCCAAUUUAAGGAGCCAGGACAACUCACUGCUUUAUGAGAAACCACCCUCAUCCUUCAACUGGGUUUGAAUUUUUCUAACACUUGGACUCAUUUUGUUGAGCUCUUCAAGCAGCAGAUCAAAUUGAGCCUGGAAAUAAAGGCUUCGCACCCCUCUGAAAUCCCAUGUAGCAGCCACACAAAAAACAGGGCUCUGGCCUCUCUGAUUGCCCAGAGUGAUGACUGUGUUUUCACAUUCAAGGGAUUUCAGGAGGCUAAAAGGAUCUUUGUUUUUUCUGCUUGUGGAUCAUAACCUGGUCACACAGGGCAGGCAUCUGGGCCUGUCCAUUCAUGAAUCUGGUUAUACCAACCAAAGCCAUCCAGCAAACCUGAGACCUAACCCAGAAGACUGUUCUGCCAGAGGGCUUUGGAGGAGCAGCCUUGUGUCCUUCAGCAGAAAGGUGAGUUGGAAAAGCUGGAAAACAAUAUCAGAGUCAUCAGAGCUUCUCGCCUGAGGCGGGUGUCCGUUGGCAUGUGAGCAGUGAGCCCAGGACCACUUGAGAUGGGAAAGGCAGAGCUCUCAAUCUUUGGCAUGGCCUUCUCCACCCAUCCUGACCCCCAAGGGGCAGAGAGAGAGGUGGAGGGAACCGAGAAGCAGGAGCAGCCAGCCCCCUCUGCGAAGCUCAGUUCACACCCAGAGCCAACCUGGCUCUGUUGCCUGGGUGGGUCCCAGAUCCCUGGGCUCAACCCUUUAAACCCAUAUACUCCAGAGGUUUACAGAUGGGCGGGAUUGCUCUUCUUCCAGGGCUUCCCAUCUCUCUUUGCACCGUGAGACCGGGCUAAUUUUGUUUAGCGGCUUUAAGAAGAGUUGGAAGAUGUUCUGCACAAUUUUUCAAACUGAAAACUCGACUACAGGGAAUUUCUAGAGACCAAACCCCUGCAGGGCCUUAACCACAAGUGAUUGACAGCUGCGGGCUGUGGCUCCUCUGGCUGUGAAUGGUACCCGAGUUCCUGAUCGUCCCUGUGAAUGGCAGCAAAGUGAAAACCAGGACAUAGAAAAAAUAGGUCUGCCCUGGCCACUGCUCCCCUUUGGAAUUCUUGGUUCUCUUGUGUCACCUUCAAUAUAUCCAUGGAAUGUCUAAGUUGUUUCGUUUGGAAAACAAAUAUAGAAAGAAAUGGAAUCAAAUAUUUAGUGAGCAGGAGAGUGGAUACUGAUAGUCAUUGGAGCUAGUCACAAAUACUCUGGAUUUCCUUCUGGGCACAUAGGGAGGUAGAAUUUGAACGCCCUUUUUGCAUUAGAGAAGACCACGUGCUUCCUUUACUGAUUGAAAUGUGAGCAGAACAUCACAUGUCUCUCCUGGUUGGCAGCUUUAAGGACUAGCACAUGACUAACUGUGCCUCUUCCCUAUCUCCGCAGAAACAUCUGUUGAGAUGAAGCCUCUGUCCUUCUAAGAGAUGAAACCUCUAUCAGCUUAGGUCCUUGAGUACCUUAUGAUGGGCAGAAACCCCCCACCUCAUGCUGACCUGUGGUGGACAUACAUUGUGAGCAAGAAACAGCCUUUGUUGUUUGAAGCCCUGAAAUCUUGAGGUGGUCUUCACAGCAUGGCCUCACUUGUCUUCCCUGAAACAACAACAAAAUACCAAGUACAAUACUGUGGGUCCUUCUCAUCAUGUCUGGACUCCUGGGGAACAAGUAAGGAACCAACACCAUCCGAGUGCAGCCGUGGAACUGCCUCCAUUCAAACCCAGUCUUAUUCUACUCUAUGGGCAUAAACUUUUGUGGCCCAGAAUGAUGUGAAUUGAAUACUAACUUCCCUAGUUCUGAACACUUUUUGUUACUAUCUGUGAGUUUUCUGUCUGUUAGUUACUCGAAUGACAGAGUCCUCAACUAGUGAUUUCUAGGGAGAUUUUCCUUUCCUCCCAUAAGCUCAGAGAGGAUUUCUCCACCACCCCCACCCCUGACACUGGUAUCUCCACUUCCAGGGCACUUUGGUAUCCAUCAUCUGGCUUUCUGUUUUCUGAAAGCAUUGCUUUCCCUGGCCAGCAGGCUCUGAGUUUUUUCUCAUUGUCUGCAUGCCUUGCGGCAUAGUUAAUGCUGAUGGUCUUUCAAUGAGAAAAGUAACCUCCAGUGUGAUGUCUAGCUGAGUACGUACUUUCUUUUAGCAUUUGGACAUUGUCAUUAGGCAGCCCCUGCCCCUCCCAC